UACGGGAGGCAGCAGUGGGGAAUAUUGCACAAUGGGCGAAAGCCUGAUGCAGCUAUGCCGCGUGUAUGAAGAAGGCCUUAGGGUUGUAAAGUACUUUCAUCGGGGAGGAAAAACAAAACUAAUAAUUUUAUUUCUUGACGUUACCCGAAAAAGAAGCACCGGCUAACUCCGUGCCAGCAGCCGCGGUAAUACGGAGGGUGCUAGCGUUAAUCAGAAUUACUGGGCGUAAAGAGCACGUAGGUGGUUUUUUUAAGUCAGAUGUGAAAUCCCUGGGCUUAACCUAGGAACUGCAUUUUGAAACUGAAAUACUAGAGUAUCGUAGAGGGAGGUAGAAUUCUAGGUGUAGCGGUGAAAUGCGUAGAUAUCUGGAGGAAGUACCUGUGGCGAAGACGGCCGUCCUAAACCGAAUACUGACACUGAGGUGCGAAAGACGUGGGGAGGCAAACAGGAGUUAGAUA
RNAcentral lists this ribosomal RNA (458 nucleotides) under uncultured bacterium. RNAcentral describes it as "bacterial SSU rRNA". It matches the Rfam family "Bacterial small subunit ribosomal RNA", at positions 340 to 784 of the family's 1533-position model. The record is from RNAcentral.